ACAUAUAUGUAUUUAGAAUGGAGGAUGUUGACAAUGGAAUCUGGAUUGUACUUGGUUGUCAGAGAAAGGACAGAAAAUGGUCCUUUAAUCUGGAUAUGGACCUGCUGACUCCUGCCCGUCUUUUUCAUAACACUUUCCUGCCCUUUCGGAAAUGAAAACUGGCUGCUGGUUUAAGUUUUUC
Non-coding RNA from Ceratotherium simum simum (southern white rhinoceros), 181 nucleotides. NCBI's taxonomy places the organism in Eukaryota, Metazoa, Chordata, Mammalia, Perissodactyla, Rhinocerotidae. The record is from RefSeq and is a predicted model, not a curated record.